UUAGUUAAAGUCAAAAUAGAGACAAUUCAUUGUUAAUGAUAAAAUUGGUUUAACCUAACUAAA
RNAcentral lists this transfer RNA (63 nucleotides) under Myrmedobia distinguenda. RNAcentral's name for it is "tRNA-Asn". The record is from RNAcentral. Lineage: Eukaryota; Metazoa; Arthropoda; Insecta; Hemiptera; Microphysidae.